Molecule: long non-coding RNA, 5345 nt
Filed under: Sus scrofa (pig)
Lineage: Eukaryota; Metazoa; Chordata; Mammalia; Artiodactyla; Suidae
Description: lncRNA (ENSSSCG00065036551.1)
Source: RNAcentral
AUUCAUUUAGGUGGUGGGUUAAGUUGUCGAUUGGAGAUUUUUCUUCUUUUUGGAGGAAGGUCUGUAUCACUAUGAAUUUCCCUCUAAGCACAGCUUUUGUGGCAUCCCAUAGAUUUUGAGUGGUUGUAUCUUCAUUAUCAUUUGUCUCAAGGUAUAUUUUAAUUUCCUUUUUGAUUUCCUCACUGACCCAUUGGGGUUUUUUUUAGUGGCAUGUUGUUUUGUCUACAUGUAGUUAGUUUUUUCUCAUUUCUUUCUUGUGGUUGAUGUCUAGUUUCAUGCCACUGUGGUCAGAGAAGAUACUCGAAAGAAUUUCUAUACUUUUAAAUGUGUUGAGGUUAGUUUUGGGCCCAGUAUGUGAUCGAUCCUUGAGAAUGUCCCAUGUGCACUUGAGAAGAAUGUAUUCUGAUUUUUUGGGGUGUCAUGCCCUGAAAAUGUCAACUAAGCCUACCUUUUCUACUGUGUCAUUUAGGAUCUGUUUUGGCAUAUUGAUUUUCUGUCUAGAGGGUCUGUCCACUGAUGCGAGUGGGGUGUGAAAGUCUCCUACUAUGACUGUGUUCCCAUCAAUUUCUCCUUUUAUGUCUGUUCAUAUUUGUUGGAGGUAUCAGGGUGCUCGUAUAUGAGGGGCAUAUAUAUUGACGAUUCUAAUGUCCUCUUCUUGAAUGGAUCCCUUUAUCAUUCAAUAUGCCCUUCUUUAUCUUUCUUUAUGGCCGUCAUUUUAAAGUCUAUUUUGUCUGAUACAAGUAUUACACCUCCUGUCUUGUCCAUUGGCGUGAAAUAUCUUUUCCCACCCCCUUAUUUUCAAUCUCUUUGCCCUAAGGUGCCCUAAGGUGAGUCUCUUGUAGACAGCACAUUGUAGGCUUUUGCUUUUUUUGUCCAAUCUGCUGUGUGUCUUUUGAUUGGAGCAUUUAGUCCAUUGACAUCUGGCCUCAGUGCUGCCCAGACCCUGAGGGUCACGGUGCUCACAAGUCCUGAACCCGACUCACUGGAGAGUCGGAGGAAAGUCCUCUUGUCUCAGAUCUUCCUCAGGACGGUCCCCUGUUCCUGUUCUGCUUCCUGGCUCACAAGGGGACCUGGGCCGAGGGAGUCACCACCUUCCCAAGGGGUUGGUUCUAACCUCAGGUGGUGCCCUGAGCUGGGUCGGGCUCCUGCUGUGUGUGGUACCGAGUCCCGGCAUUGUGCCUGGGGAAGACUGGACAGACCCCAGGGCGUCUGGGCCAGAGGACACCAGUCAGAGGAGCUUCCAGGCCCGUGAUCCACCUCCCAGCCCCAGGCGUGACCGGGCUGGGCCUGCCCAGCAGGGUGGGGCCUUUGCUUCCCUCUGGAGGUGGGUGCUGCAGGGGGCGGGGACCAGAGUGGACCCAGGCCAAUGCAUCUGAGGGACACCGUGUCUGCUGUAGCCCCCCCCGCCCCCAAAGCCAUGCCCCCAGUGCCGCUGCAGGCCUUUUCUGGAGCCCUGCCAGGAAGGGGGCUCACUGUGGCUACCGCCUACGGAAGACCCGCUGGCAUGGUGCCAGGUGCCGGCUCCUUCACAGGGACUGCGUCUCCGCGGCCUCAUCAGGAGGCUGUGGCGUGGGGCCUCUGUGAUUCCUGCAGAAGGAUGGGGUGGGGCUGUGUGGGGUUGACAGCAGGGUGACCACCCGUUCAUGAGUCACCGGGCCAGGGUCACCCACUGCCUCAGAGCCCCAGCCCCAACCGUCUACACUACCCCUCCUCCCAGGGAUGCAGGGACAUGGAGUUUGGUGCCUGUGCAGACACACAAAGUGAAGUAAGAGUUUUAACUGAGGGACCCCCCCCCACCACCUCCAGCCCUGAAAAUUGACUGCCAGCCUUUUCAGCUAUGCUGGCCUCACACCAUCCUUCUUGUAAUUGUGUAGCAACUACGUGCCCUAUGUCCAAGCCAGCAGCCCUGCUGACCGCGCUCCAAGCAUUGCCUAUCAGCUUCGCUUCCGUCACCUUAAUGCUCAGUUUCUUAGGCAGGAGCACUGUCUGCUCGGGGAAGGGCGAGGUCCGGGCUGCUCACACGGAAAACCAAGAGCCUGUAAUGUAUAAACGUUGCAGAGAACAAAGGCCUGGUGCUCAGACUCUGGAGGUGGCUCCUCUGAGCCCGCACCAGUGCGGAAUAAACCUCACUCUCCCGCAUCUCCGAGGGCCCUUUGUCUCCUUCCGCUGCCAUGGUUUCUGCAGUUUCUGCAACAACAGAACCCACCUUAGAGAGGACAAGGUCUGGCUGCUCCCAGGACUGAGAACUGAGAGCGGCUCAAGCCCAAGACUGGCCACUAGGGGGCGCCCACACACGCUCUACAAAGGCUUUGACAACUGAAGGCUCAGGGGACCCCCAGCCCAGUGACAGCAAACUAGAGCUAGUGACCUGAACCUCAGCAGGUUGGUUACCUGCCGAGACAAAGAUGACAAUAUUCUCCAUGGAAUUUCAAUGAGACCCAGAGUUUCCUGACUUUAUCGUGAAUGUAGCUGGAAUAGAAUUCUAAAUGACUUGGCGUUCAAAGAACCAAGAUCUCGAUUUGCGUGGGUGGAAAAAGAAAAUCCAGACUUGCUAACACAGAUGAUCCCGAUGUGGGAACGAGCUCGCACCACAGCAGCUCCAAUUAUGAAGAUGCUCCAGUGACCCAUCGCAACUACUUUAGAAGCCAAUGGAAAAGUGAAAACAUCCUCCAUAAAUGAAUGGCAGGUAUAAGAAGGGAACACGUGGACAUUUUAAAGGUGAAAAAUGCAGGAACCCAAAUACUCUCUCAGGAGCAGAAUAGAGAAGGUGAAGGAAAAGCCACUGAGCUGAAGAUGCAUCGAUAGAAAUGAUCCCCCCUGAAUAAUAGAGAAAAGGAUAGAAAAGCAUGAACGUAGCCUCGGAGACCUGUGGGAUGAUAACAGAAGACCUAAGACAGGUGUCACUGGACUCCCAGAAGGAGAAGAGAGUGGGUGCCCUGCUGAGACGUAUUGGGGGAAAUAAUGGCUAAAGUCUCUGAAUUUGGUGAAGGGCAUAAACCUACUAAUUCAGUCCCAAACAGCAGGAGCUACAAUUCACACACACAGAGCAAAGCAACUCUGUCCCAAUGAAACGGCUGAAUGGAAGGCAAAGAACAAAUACUGAAACCAGCCAAAGGAAAAAUGUAUUACCUACAAGGACACAACCUUUCAAGUGACUGCAGAUUUCUCAUUAGCAUCCGUUUAUCUCUGUGACGGAGACAAGAGAUCAGCAGGAGAGGAAAUAACUGAUGUUUAGCAUCAGAUGUUAGUGGGAUCGAACUGACACAUCACAUUCCAUCCCACGACUGCAGAACACACGUUGUUUUCAAGUAUACACGGAACAUUCCCUGACACAGACCAUAUCCCGAGUCAGAUCAGAUUUCAAAGAAUUGAAAUCAUACAGAAUACAUUAUCUGACCAAAGUGGAUUUAAACUAGAAGUCCGUAGAAGAAAGAUCGUAGAAAAAUCACCCCACACUUGAAAAUUACACGGAACACUUACAAAUAAUCCAUGGAUCAAAGAGGAAAGUCCUUGAACUAAAUGGAAAUGACAAUACAGGAUAUAAAAAUGUGUGCGACGCAGAUAAAGAAGUGCUGAGAAGGAAAUGUAUAGCAUUGGAUGCUCAUUUUAGAAAAGAAGAAAGGCUAAAAUCAAUAAUCUAAGCUUCCACCUUAAGAAAUAGUAAUUAGACCUGUUUAAACCCAACAGCAGCAAAAGGAAGGAAAUAACGACGGCAGGACUAGAAAUCAGUGAAAUCAACCCCAAAACCAAUACAGAAAAUGAAACCCAGAGUUGGGUCUUUGAAAAAAAAGCAGUGGAAUUGUCAGGGAGUUCCCCUUGGGGCACAGUGGAAAUGAAUCCAACUAGUGUCCAUGAGGAUGCAAGUUUGAUCCUUGGCCUCUCUCAGUGGGUUGGGGAUCCAGCAUUGCUGUGAGCUGUGGUGUAGGCUGGCAGCUGUAGCUCCAAUUAGACCCCCUAGCCUGGCAACCUCCAUAUGCUGCAGGUGCAGCCCUAAAAAGCAAAACAAAACAAAACAAAAGCAGUUUAGGUUUAUAAAAAAUUGAGAAGCUAGUGCAGUUUCCAUACACUCCAUGGCUAUAGUUUCCCUAGUAUUGUCUGGCGUUCCUGUGGUAUAUUUGCUACAAUUAAUGAACCAUCGCUGACGCAUUAUUAGCCAAAGUCCAUCAUGUACUGGGAUGACCUAGCUUUUCACCUAAUGUCUUCUUUCCUGUCCCAGAGCCCCGUCCACGCUACCUUUGGUGUCUUGUCUUCUCGGAUUUCUCAGAGAGUCUUGGUUCUGAGGACCGUGGUGGAUUGAAGCACACGGCUCAGGGGUCCUGCGGGAUGCCCUCUGGUGGAACCUGCUCGGUUGACUCCUCAGGACUGGACUGGAGUCAUGGGCUUGGGGAGGAAGAUCAGAGGGCAAGUGCCCUCUCGUCGCAUCGAGGGUACUUUAUGACUCACCCCAUCAACAUGCUUCCUAACUACUGAUGUUGGACUUGAUCGGACCCUCUGGCUGAAGCCCUUGUAUUCCCUUUUCCCCUUUCCAGGCUGUAGGAUUGGGAGAGAAGUCGCUUUGUGGAGCCCACACUUGCAGAGGGGGGGUGAUGCUGCCCUCCUCUAGACUGGAAUAUCUGCCUAAUUUACUUGGAAUUCUUCUGCAAGGAGGUUUAUUUCUUCUCCAUUUAUUUCAUUAUUCCAUUAGUUGUGCUUUUAAAAUUAUCAUGGACUUCCCAUUGUGGCUCAGUGGUAUGGAACCUGACGAGUAUCCACGAGGACUCGGGUUCGACCCCUGGCCUCGCUCUGUGGGUUAAAGAUCCAGCAUUGCCGUGAGUUGUGGAGUACGUCACAGAUGUGACUCGGAUCUGGUGUGGCUGUGGUGCAGGCCAGCGGCUGCAGCUCCAAUUCAACCCCUGGCCUGGAAGCUUCCAUAUGCCACGGGUGCUGCCCUAAAAAGACAAAAAACGAGAAAAAAAUGUGUUUUGUUCACCAUAUCUGCUCCGCUUUGGCCUCUGGGAACCCUUUUAGAAACCAGGAACUGGCCACUAGGUGUUGCCUGGUGAUACAGCGUGACUUCUUUCGGGCUCCUCAGCUGGCAGGCUGGAGACGCGGGUGUGUGCCCAACAACCCCGUGUGUGCAGAGAUCCCUAAGUGUGUCUGUGUGGAGCCACCCGUGUCUGCACUAAGUCCUCACGUCUUCAGGGUAUGUCUACCCAAAAAUCUGAACGUAGGUGUUUAUAGCAGCUUUAUACAAAAUUGCCAAGACCUGGAAGCCGCCCAGAUGUGCACAUUCACGCGAUGGGAUAUUGUUCAGCAGUGAGAAGAAAUGAGCUGUCACGUCACAGAGACACACGGGGGGACCGUCC